UACAGAGGUCCCAAGCGUUGUUCGGAUUCAUUGGGCGUAAAGGGUGCGUAGGCGGCGCGGUAAGUCGGGUGUGAAAUCUCGGAGCUUAACUCCGAAACUGCAUUCGAUACUGCCGUGCUUGAGGACUGGAGAGGAGACUGGAAUUUACGGUGUAGCGGUGAAAUGCGUAGAUAUCGUAAGGAAGACCAGUGGCGAAGGCGGGUCCCUGGACAGUUCCUGACGCUGAGGCACGAAGGUCAGGGGAGCAAACGGG
This 253-nucleotide ribosomal RNA is filed under the name uncultured bacterium. RNAcentral's name for it is "partial 16S ribosomal RNA". It matches the Rfam family "Bacterial small subunit ribosomal RNA", at positions 524 to 776 of the family's 1533-position model. The record is from RNAcentral.